GACGGAGGGUGCAAGCGUUGUUCGGAUUGACUGGGCGUAAAGGGCGUGUAGGCGGUCGGCCAAGUCUGAUGUGAAAGCCCGAGGCUCAGCCUCGGAAGUGCGUCGGAAACUAGUCGGCUGGAGCGCGAUAGAGGAGGGUGGAAUUCCUGGUGUAGCGGUGAAAUGCGCAGAUAUCAGGAGGAACACCGAUGGCGAAGGCAGGUCUCUGGGCAUUAACUGACGCUGAGGAGCGAAAGCAUGGGGAGCGAACAGG
This 253-nucleotide ribosomal RNA is filed under the name uncultured bacterium. RNAcentral's name for it is "partial 16S ribosomal RNA". It matches the Rfam family "Bacterial small subunit ribosomal RNA", at positions 524 to 776 of the family's 1533-position model. The record is from RNAcentral.